Molecule: ribosomal RNA, 775 nt
Filed under: uncultured Neocallimastigales
Lineage: Eukaryota; Fungi; Neocallimastigomycota; Neocallimastigomycetes; Neocallimastigales
Description: partial large subunit ribosomal RNA
Rfam family: Eukaryotic large subunit ribosomal RNA
Source: RNAcentral
UACUAGAGUAGCACUCGCAUAUCAAUAAGCGGAGGAAAAGAAACUAACAAGGAUUCCCCUAGUAACGGCGAGUGAAGCGGGAAGAGCUCAAAUUUGAAAUCUUAAAGGGUUUCCCUUUACGAAUUGUAGUUUAAAGAAGCGUUUUCUGUUGAGGUUUUGGUAAAAGUUCUUUGGAAUAGGACAUCAUAGAGGGUGAGAAUCCCGUAUUUGACCUUUACUUUCAACUUUGUGAUACACUUUCAAAGAGUCGGAUUGUUUGGGAAUGCAGUCCAAAAUGGGUGGUAAAUUUCAUCUAAAGCUAAAUAUUGGCGAGAGACCGAUAGCGAACAAGUACCGUGAGGGAAAGAUGAAAAGAACUUUGAAAAGAGAGUUAAACAGUACGUGAAAUUGUCAAAAGGGAAGCGUUUGACACCAGUGUUGUUUUUCUGAAAAUCAAUUAAAGAACUGUUUAUGCUAAGUUGUUUAGACUUUAUCAGCUAUCUGCUUUAGUUUUGAGCUUUUCUUUAAUGCACUUUUCAGUUAACAAGUCAACAUCAAUUUCUUUUGCUGUAAAAAAGCUUGAGGAAGGUGGCUUGAGAUUCGUCUUAAGUGUUUAUAGCCUCUUGCCUAUGCAGUCGGAGAGAUUGAGGUCUGCAGCGUAGAUCCUUCGGGGCUAAAUGCAUUUGUGCUAAGUUAUAACAUUUUAUAGACAACUUGUUGACUAUGAUUUGUCUUGUAGCUUACUCGCUUAUGUUAUUUUACCUACGCUUAGGAUGUUGAGUAGCGACAUACGCAC